This 626-nucleotide ribosomal RNA is filed under the name uncultured bacterium. RNAcentral describes it as "bacterial SSU rRNA". The stretch from base 1 to 532 matches the Rfam family "Bacterial small subunit ribosomal RNA", at positions 338 to 873 of the family's 1533-position model. The record is from RNAcentral.
CCUACGGGAGGCAGCAGUGAGGAAUUUUCCGCAAUGGGCUAACGCCUGACGGAGCAAUGCCGCGUGGAGGAGGAAGGCCUGUGGGUCGUAAACUCCUUUUCUCAGAGAAGAAGAUCUGACGGUAUCUGAGGAAUAAGCAUCGGCUAACUCUGUGCCAGCAGCCGCGGUAAUACAGGGGAUGCAAGCGUUAUCCGGAAUUAUUGGGCGUAAAGCGUCCUGAGGUGGCUUACCCAGUCGACUGUGAAAGCUCAAGGCUCAACCUUGAAACGGCAGUCGAAACUUGUAAGCUUGAGUACGGUAGAGGCAGAGGGAAUUCCCGGAGGAGAGGUGAAAUUCGUAGAUAUCGGGAGGAAGGCCAAAGGCGAAAGCACUCUGCUGGGCCGAUUACUGACACUGACAGACGAAAGCUAGGGGAGCGAAAGGGAUUAGAUACCCCUGUAGUCCUAGCCGUAAACGAUGAUACUAAGUGUUGCGCGACUCAACUCGUGCAGUGCUGCAGACGUAACCGUACGGUAACGGUAACGUACCCGUCCGUCGGGGUAGGUAGUGCGUCGCGAAGAGUAGAAACGUUAAAGGUAAGUUAGACGGCGUGAGACGUCGCCGACGGACGACGACGAGGGAGGAGG